This 3472-nucleotide long non-coding RNA is filed under the name Gallus gallus (chicken). RNAcentral's name for it is "lncRNA (ENSGALG00010011219.1)". The record is from RNAcentral. Lineage: Eukaryota; Metazoa; Chordata; Aves; Galliformes; Phasianidae.
GUCGCCAGCUGGAUUUAACUCCAUUCAGCACCACUCUCCGGGCCCGGCCCUCCAGCCAGUUCCUUACCCAUCCCAGAUUGUGGCAGUCCAGUUGGAGUAGCAGGUCUCUGACUGUUUCCUCCUGAAUUGUGGGGGGUUUAGUCUGCUCCGCAGCCAAGGCUGCCAGGUCAGAGAGUGGAGAAACCUGAGGAUAACUGUUCUGAGUUUUAAAGACAGAUGUAAAGAAGGCAUUCAGAAGGUCUGCCUUUUCCUUAUCCUCAGUGGUCACGUUCCCAGCCUCAUCCAGUAGAGAAUGGAGAUUCUCCCUGGUCCUCCUCUUACUGUUGAUAUACUUGUAAAAGAGUUUCUUGUUCCCUUUCACCCCAGCAGCCAGGUUGAGUUCAAUGGUUGAGAUGGGCACCAGGGAAAAGGAGGAUGAGAUAGGUAUGUGAACUGGGGUUUCCAGUGGAGAGGAACAAGAUGAGCUGAAGAGGUGAUUCAAGAUAGCUGGCGUGGCUUUGUUAAGGGCAGAUUGUACCUGACCAAUCUGGUGGCCUUCUGUGGUGGAGUAAUGGCAUCGGUGGACAGGGGAAGGGCAACGCGUGUCAUCUAUCUGGAGUUCCGCAAAGCCUUUGACGUGGUCCCUCACCACAUCGUUCUCUCUAAACUGGGGAGGUGUGGAUUUGAAGGAUGGACUGUUCAGUGGAUUAGGAAUUGGCUGAUUGGACGCAGCCAAAGGGUUGUGAUGAAUGGUUCUGUGUCAGGGUGGAGGCUGUGUAUGGAAGUGUGACUGCUACCUUUCUUGGGUGAUGUGAAACUGAUAGAAGGCAGCUGUAUCUACUGUCUCCUAUUCUUAAAAACAGUUACUGGGAUUUUUCAUUGUUCUUGCUGACUGUUCUGUUGAACGUAAAUAAGAUGGAGGUCACUUUCUUUUUUUUUUUUUUUUUUUAUGUCAGUAGCUUCUAAAAAAAUGGUUUUUUUUUGAUUAAAAAAUACUCUAGAACUAAUUUGUCGUGUUCUGUGGAAUGCUUUUUUUUCCCUUGAUACUGUAUAUAUUGUUGCCUGUUGACCAAAAUGUGAAAAACAUGCCCACUUGGUACAGGCAAUAAGGGAGGUGAAGUACUGGAGAAGGAAUAAAUGAAAAAUCUAAUGAAUGAGAGAAUGUAAAUGCGCUACGUCCUUAAUACAUAAAUAAGGUGGUUAUGUUCCUAAGGCCUUUAGAUCUUAAGAAGUAUUGAUUUAACUUCCUGUUCAGUGUUAUGCAAAGGUCAUAUUCAUAUUUCCUUUGUCUAGAAGAUACUCUACUUUGCUUGAUAGUAUUUGAUGAAUACAGCACUUAACAUUCAUUACGUGGUGAAGAUAAGAAAGUUGAAAACAGCUCAGAGGACUGCAGAAUGAUUGCCUUAUAAUGCCCACAGCUACGUCACCGGAAUAAAAUGGGUGGUGAUGUUCAGCUAUUGCCCCUGAUCAUCAGAAAAGAAUGGUGCCAUUGGAAAUAUCUGCACCAGAAAAAACUCUUAUCAAAUUAAGGGACUACUUUGAAGAAAAAAUCAUCAACAACAAGACAAGAAUGUAUAUUAGGGAACAAAAAGCAAACAUGUUAAACUGUGUGUCAGUGGAUUUGCUAAUGUGGGUGCUCAGCUUACAGGUGAGAGAUGAUAGUACAAAAAUGGGUAGUACAAUUUUGUCUGUCUGCUUUACCUAUGGUGAUGAUGGUGUGCACGAAUGUGAGCUUUUCAGCUGCAUUUAGAAACCUGGAGGACUUCCUAUUAGGUCUGCUCUGUUAGUGCCUCCUUCUUUAGUGUGUUGGACUGUAAUGUUGGAAGUGGAUGUUGGUGGUAGAUUUUGAACCUUCCUGUCAGUGCCCCAUGACUUCUGUUGCUGUCUGCAGUCUGACAGAAUGGUGCCUGAUAUGGGAGCGUGGAUGAGGCACAGGUGUGUCACUGAAUUACUUGGUGCUGGAAAAAAAGGGCACCCACUGGCGUUCAGCAGUUCUUGCUGAACUUUUAGGGAGGCAAAAGUGUGAAUGUGAGCACAGUGUGGUGGUGAAUGGUGUGUUUCAGAGGAAAAUGAUGAGUAUAGAGCAAGACAAGGUUUUCUCUUACAAUGUAUGAUGAAGCCUAUGUAUUUGUUGCACAUGGUUAGAUUGGAAGUGAUGAUAUUAGGUGUGCUUUUGUAUAUUUUGCCAAAAUAGUUUUGACUCGUACCAGGAACCUCUUAAGUUCUACCAGAAGUACGAGUAGUAAUGCUUACAGUAAUGAGUAUGAUUUAGGGAACCGUAACAUUCUCCAAGUAGCUGAAGAAUAUAAGCAUCAAGAUAAUCUUGGUAUGGUGAUAUAACUACAGUAGUAAAAGGUACUAAUAUAGUAAUUACUAGAAAUGAUGGGGAAAACGGGCAGAAUAGCUGGGUAAAUCCUUUCUUUUGGAAGAUGCGUGGAAUUUCUUCUUGAGAAAUUAGAAUACUUGUUCUUUACACCACUUCAGACUUCUUUAAGGCUUGCUUUUUUCAUUUGAAAUAGUUUUUUUAAGUAAUCACGGAGGGGAAAAUAAAAAAAAAAAAAAGCAAAUGAUGUCAAAGUCAAGUGAAAUGCACAAUCCUUUGUGUGUCUACCAGUAUAUUCUAUUUACUUAAUCUCCAAAAAACGUAAUAAAUAAAUAAAAUCAUGUUGUAGUAUGCACAACUGGAAGAGAGAAUCAUCAGAAGAAACAUAAAGGCAAAAGAAACAUGGGCUGCUUGUUUAGUUGCUGGUGGUUUAUAGUUUUUAUAUGCUUCCAUGAGAGAGACUCGAUAGACAAAACAGAAUAGCAAAGCGUGCGUGUUAUUUAAAGGUGGGGCAAGAACAGAGUUCGUCAUGCAUGUUGUCACUGGACUUAAGAUCCAGAUAUAGAGAACAGUUAGUUCAGCAAGAGUACCUGCUAGAUUCUUUCUGUAUUCUAACUUAAGGCAGAGCAAGUAGAUGAAUGAAACAAAUGUCUUCAAUUCUUUGUAUCCUUGAGGACUUUCUGAAGCUUGCUUUCUGUCACAGCACUGACAGUGUCAUUACAGGGAGCCGAAAGUUGUUUCAUACCACAUGGACUGAGUAGACAUGAAACUGAAGCUUCACCACCGCCAGAGUAUCACCACAUGUAGAACACAUUUAAAAAUACUAGGUAAAAGGAAUGAAUAUUUUACUAGGAGUAAUCCAGCAGGCUGCUUAGGAUAGCAGGAAUUUCUGAUUUUAAGGUCGAUGUUUAGUCAGUCAGUUGAGAUUUCUUGACUUGGAUUUGUGCGUUGGGUUGGCCACAUGGUGAAUAAUAAGUAAGCUUACUGCAGGAAGGCAAUAUUGACAUGCAGGCUCAAAUGUCAAAUGUUGGUUUCUAGAUCAGUGUGAGCAUGCUCUGAGUACUUGACCUGAGACUCUGUCGUGGUGGGCAAGGGUAGGAUUUUCAGUCAGCCUCCUCUUCUGUCUUUCAAAUUGUGACCUGAAAUUUGCUGACCCUGUCAGAAGUGCCA